Molecule: long non-coding RNA, 950 nt
Filed under: Malus domestica (apple)
Lineage: Eukaryota; Viridiplantae; Streptophyta; Magnoliopsida; Rosales; Rosaceae
Description: long non-coding RNA (MDOM_LNC004185)
Source: RNAcentral
UGGUUUGAUUUUUCCUAAAUGUCCCUAAAAGUUCCAGCAAUUAUGAAGACUUCCUAAGCAUUCUAGGACAUCAAAUACACAUCUCUUGCACCUUUUGAACCCUUGCCACACCCCCCUUGGUAUUUCCUCUUCCUUGCCGUGCAAGGGAGAGGGUAAUUUCCUGAUUCUAAGCUUUAAAACACCUUCCUUUUGUGUUUUAAACCCUAGCCGAAUUUCCCUUGCCCUUUCCUUUAAUUUUCUGAUUUUGUUUCCUAUUUCUAGAAGCUUUUGACUUAAAUUUCUGUUUACCUAAUUAGCCUAGGGUUUUUAAUUUCCUAAUCCCUUUAAAUAAACAUGUUUGUGCAGCCACAAACAACCCCAUUCAACCAGAAAAUAAUCCUUCACGCCAGAAACCAUUCUCCAUCUUCAACAGCCCCAUUCCUUCACCAUUCACCCAAAUUUCUGCCACAAAACCACCCUAGCCGCACCACCCAUCAACCCUAAACACUUCCAUACAUCCUCCAUCCAUUCUACAUCAUUCAAAUACCCAAGAAUCUGCCCAUUCAGUCCCAUUCACGCCAGAAACAUCACCACUCUCUCUGCCGCACCUAUCCUUCACCAUUCACCAUAUUUUCUGACCCAAAACCACCCUAGCCAUCCCAUACACCUAUCCCAGCCAUAAACCCAUCGUUCUACACCAUCCAUAACCCCCAAAAUCCACCCAUUCGUGUGCUGCAGCAAGGAGAAAGAAGGAAGGACUCUUGGAUGCUCAAGCUUCAUCGUUGGUGCAUUCUAGGUGUAAUUCGUUUUAUGAUUUCAAUGUUUAAUUUCUUUUCCUUUCGUUUUGCUAUGAACAUGAGUGGCUAAACCCCUAUUGGUUAGGGGUAAUUUCGAAGCCAUGACUAUGUAUGCAAGUUGAUUUGAUAAAUGCCAGUUAUGAGUUCUUGAAUCGUGAAUGCAAUUGGCUUAAC